GAUAAAGCUAAUCUUUUCAUUUUUUCGAUUGGUACUAAAAUACAAAGUAUUUCGUUACGAUACUGCAAUCAAGAUACUUAUGAAGUCUAUGAAGCGGAACUUAUCGAGCAGAAAAGCAACGACACUUUGCAAUGGCGCCGAUAUUAACAGAAUGUCCGUGUACGAGAUAUCUAAAAUAAAAGGCACUGCAUUGCAUCCAAACUUGACUAAACUGGGGUUAAAAUCUUAUUUUUGUCAUCAAUGAUCAAGAAAAUGUACAAAAUUUGCCGAAUACGUUCAAGAUUCGGCACACAAGACGGCAAAAUAUGUCUGAAAGUGGGUUAAAGAGUUAGAACUGGAUUGACCUGCCUGGCUUCCCGUCAUCUGGUUUCACUCUCCCCCUGACUUUUCGUUCAUGCUGGUUGCAGUUAUCAUGAUCAAUCCAACAUGGCGGCGUCGUCACGGCAAAAGAGAAAUGAGAUUUUUUGCAGUUUUUGCCCAUGUAUUAUCAGGGAGUAAGCUCAGUUCAUUUAGGAGGAGGGUUCAGUUAGACUACAACGAGAUGGCGACGAAGAUUAUUCUGAAGUAGCAUCCCAACAUUCAAAAGAUAAUCACUAAAUGCAACAACUUCUUGCUGUCUUUACGAACCUUUUGCUGUUUUUGAAUCGACAGGUUUGCAGAGCAUAUUGUGUAUUGGUUUCGCCAGUAGUUUGAUGGCUUUUUGGUUGAUGAAAACAUACUUUAAUAUCAGUGGAAGUGAUCAGAGAAGUGAUGGCUUUAUAUUUAUCAAACGCCAUGACGUCGCGACAUUCAUAAGUAUCCUGAAUAUUUUUGAAGAAUUUACUCCUGAAAUUAUUACCCAUACAUUGUGAAGAAAACAUGGCGGCGUCAACGAGGCCACAAGUCGAAGCCAUAUUUUUAUCUUUUUCUUUUUACAGCAUUUUCCAUGUGCUCGUCGUUUUUACAUAUUUUUCUCUCCUGUAAGCAACGUUUCACAUUAUCACCUGAAACGCUCCGUAAAGAUUUACGGACCACCAACCAUUGACCAAUACUCACCAUCGAACAUAGAAACCGUCAGCUAGUCUUGAAAGGUGGUCUUUGUGUCUGCAACCUUAUGACGUCAUUAUACGCUAUCGCCAGGGACCUGAAAAGUCAGCAGAUUUUCUGUCGAAAUAGCCGAAGAAUUUCGAUCUUGAAAAUUAUAUGAAAUUUCAAACAUGAAAAAUAAACACUUCAAAAUAUCAAGCUUUUAAAAAAGUAAAAGACAAGUUCUGUAUUUUACCUAAAGUAAACGGAAUCGUAAAAUCACAUGGGGAUAGUUAAAACGAAAGCCCUUUUACGUGAGAAAGGUUGGUUCCUACUAAUCAGCCAAAUAUUGGUAUCGAUAUUUCGAAGCAUCAGCCUGGUUUGGUCUUCUUCAGUUUGAGGUAAUGACUUAAAGUUCGUUGGCCAUUCUAUGGCCCUUGCUGUAGUUGGUCCAAGAUUGUUAUCGUCAAAUGACUCAGAUCAUGACAUGCUCGUUUUCCAUCCUUUUUCUCCAGGAAUUAUGCCUUUAAGAUAAAUUAAACUGUAUAAAUUGUUCUAGCAAUUGUGGUAUGUGUCCUACCUUUGGUUAUCUAUCUUAACACAGUUGAUGUACUGAAAUUCCGAAGGAUUAAUUGAUUCAAGAUUUUAUAUAUUUUCCAAACGCACAGCAUAGGUUUCACCUGGACUAAUCAACGAAAGCACUGACUAACUAUGCGCAUCUCAUUCACUGUACCGUUCACUGUUUCGUACUGACGUUGACUGAUGACAAGAUAGAAUCUUGUCUUGCCAAAAUAACGACGCCAAAAAGUGGAAGAGACCCAUUACAGAUGUCUGAAUUACCGCAAGCACUGUGGACUAAGCUUAUAGACUAUGGCUUCGUGCAUAUACUGGUAGUAAUGAGUAUCUAUUGGUCUUCAUCGAUGACUAUUCUAGAUUCUUAAUCGUGGAAAUAUAACGAUCGACGUUUUCGAACGCCUUUAUACCCUGCCUAGAUAAAAUAUUUUCCAAACAUGGAAUACUAAAAAUAAUGACAACGGUUCUUCAUUUAAUAGUCAGGAAUUCAACGAUUUUGCAAAACAUUUGGGUUUCGUAAAUAGAAAAGUCACCCUUUACAGGCCCCUUGCAAAUGGUGAAUGGGCUUUUCUGCGUACUUUGAAGAAAGUUAUAAAGACAGUUGGGAUGGAAAAUAAAGUUUAGAAGCAAGAAAUAUUCAAGUUCUUACGUAACUAUCAAGCCACACCUCAAGCAUUGGUCUAACUAUUUAUCAAACGCACUUCUCUAAUAAGUAUCCUUAAUCUUUUUGAAGAAUUUACUCCUGAAAUUAUCACCCAUACAUUCUGAAGAAAACAUGGCUGUUGCAUCGAUGCCACAAUUUAAAGCCAUAUUUUUUAUCUAUUUUAACAACAUUUUCAUUGUGCUCGUCGUUUGUAAUAAAGUAAAUGGUUUGAACCCGGAAGUAUCGUUACUUGUUUGUAAAUGUAGAUCGUCCAGGUUGGUAUAGUCCUGAGAAGGACUGUUUUUGUUGUUGUUGACUGACGUUUCGACAACCUUAACGGUAGUCAUCUUCGGAGUCAAAAAAAAAUGAUUUACGUAAAAAUUCUUACGGAACUAUCGAACCACACGCAUCGACCAAAACCCCACCACUCACCCACUGUCCAACUGUCCAAUGAAAAUCCGUCCGCCCCAAAUAAAGAUAGAGUCAAACUGAAGGAAGACGUCAUGAGGAAAAAUGAUGAGAAGCCCAAACAUGCUAAUUUGAAAUCUAACGUUAAACCUUUACAAUUUUAAAAAAGGGGAUGCAGUCCUUUUGAAAACAAUGUCAAAAGCAAAACAGUUCCACCGUAUGAACCAUAUAUAUUCAGAAUUGUGCAAAAAAAAAGAUCAACGAUUAUUGCAGAACAAGACUCUAAAUCCGUCACAGUGACCGCGAAAUUCAUCCUCUUUUAAGCAAGUCGUGGAACAAGAAAACGAUGAAAUGGAAUGUCCAGAGUUUGGCGAAUCUGAAAAAUUCCAAGCAAAUCCUAAUGUCUCUGGAGGUGGUGUCCCACAGGAUCCUGGUGCUGCAAUCCUGACAAAAAACCCUUCGGUGAGAACAUCAACGCCUAUGUAUCUAAGAAGAGUAAGAAAAUAACCAGAUUAAUGUCAAAGUGAAACUUACAGAUGACACAAAAAAAUUAUAGCUAAUGGUAGUUAUUAAUAAGAAACAUUUAGAAAUCAAACUUAGUAGGGAAUAGGAAGAGAUUUAAUUUGCAUGCUACGUCAAAUAGAAACUAUUGGGAUAACUAUUUUGACAUUGAAACGUGUACUAUAUUAUUAUUAUUGUUAUUAUUAUUUAACUAAAAUUUUAACUCCAAGUGAGGGAGAGAUGUAAUAUUUUGAAUAAUUUAAACAUGUUGUUUGGGAUAUUUCGUAAAGGGAGGAUUCAGUUCGACUGUAACGUGUGUGAACAUCACAAGGACCACUUCGCUGUUAAUCAGAUUAAUGGUGUCAGUGACUAGCCUCAAGGUAGUUAUGUUUCGAUGGAAGUCUUUAUGACAAACAUUUGAACAUGCCAAUAGUGAGUGAAAAAAGGGGUAUGAUAUGUAAAAUUAGAGGAGAAUGAAACACUUGUAACAUGGCGAUUGUCUUUGAAUGUGAUAGGAAAAAUAUAAUCAAACUCUACAA
Long non-coding RNA from Xenia sp. Carnegie-2017, 3669 nucleotides. RefSeq lists it as uncharacterized. Lineage: Eukaryota; Metazoa; Cnidaria; Anthozoa; Malacalcyonacea; Xeniidae. The transcript has 2 exons. The record is from RefSeq and is a predicted model, not a curated record.